This 253-nucleotide ribosomal RNA is filed under the name uncultured bacterium. Its description in RNAcentral is "partial 16S ribosomal RNA". It matches the Rfam family "Bacterial small subunit ribosomal RNA", at positions 524 to 776 of the family's 1533-position model. The record is from RNAcentral.
UACGGGGGGGGCAAGCGUUGUUCGGAAUUACUGGGCGUAAAGGGCGCGUAGGCGGCCUUCUAAGUCGGACGUGAAAUCCCUCGGCUUAACCGAGGAACUGCGUCCGAUACUGAAAGGCUUGAAUCCGGGAGAGGGAUGUGGAAUUCCAGGUGUAGCGGUGAAAUGCGUAGAUAUCUGGAGGAACACCGGUGGCGAAGGCGGCACCCUGGACCGGUAUUGACGCUGAGGCGCGAAAGCUAGGGGAGCAAACAGG